CUCCUUUUGGUGUCAGUUGACUUGAUUGGGCGGGUCCAAUAUCAGCCGGAUUCCCCUUGAGAGACUUUGGGGAGGCCUGACGGUCUCACCCAAUGGCUUGGGGUUCUGCCGGCUGUGAGGGGUGGCGAUUAACUCACUUUAAGCAAUCAACUCUAAAGACAGCUCGAUUGGCUAGCAUUGCUGGCUGUAGACUGAACAAAUACAGACAACUCUCAACAACGGAUAUCUUGGCUCCCGUAACGAUGAAGAACGCAGCGAAAUGCGAUACGUAGUGUGAAUUGCAGAAUUCCGUGAACCAUCGAAUCUUUGAACGCAAAUUGCGCUCGAGGCUUCGGCCAAGAGCAUGUCUGCCUCAGCGUCGGCUACUACCCUCAACUAAGUUUCCUAUGAAAGACUAGGGGAUGCCAGUUGGAUAUGGCAGUCCGGUUUGCCUUUCAGGUUGCCGGUCAGCUGAAAUAUAUUCACGCUCUGGGGGCUGCUUUCCUUGAUAGGCUACUUUCAAGGGGAGGCGAGUUCCGAUUUGGUAGGUGACCUUUGCCGGUUACAUGCCUUCGUUGCUCGCUAAGCGUCCCAGUAGUCGUUGUGCAGGACGCCUUUUGGCUUUCGACCUGAGGUCAGGCAAGAACACCCGCUGAACUUAAGCAUAUCAAUAAGCGGAGGAAAAGAA
This 667-nucleotide ribosomal RNA is filed under the name Trebouxia sp. 1 LM-2014. RNAcentral describes it as "eukaryotic LSU rRNA". The stretch from base 208 to 361 matches the Rfam family "5.8S ribosomal RNA". The record is from RNAcentral. Lineage: Eukaryota; Viridiplantae; Chlorophyta; Trebouxiophyceae; Trebouxiales; Trebouxiaceae.